GCGGGGGGCCACGGAGCAUGGUGCGGCGCGGCCCGCGAGGGGCGACGUGCGGGCCGGGGUCGCAACUUCCGGCUCCGGCGGGCAGGGGGCGGGUCCGGACGGCGCUUCCGGCCUGCGCCCCCAGGAUUCGCCGCGCGGCGCGGGCGCGCGGGCGGGGAGCGCCGAGGGGCUCGGGACGCCUGUGGCUCCGGUGGCCCCGGGACGGCCGCUCGCGGAGCUUCGGAGACCUGUGGCUGAGGGGCAGCCGGCGUCGGCUUGGCCUCCGGCGUGGGCGAGCUUCCGCGUAGCAGGCGCCUCCCAGGAUGACUCGAGGGCGCCCCCGCUCUUUGAAUUUCUACGGCGGGAAUGCGUCGGGACUGAGCCCGAGUCUCCCGAGGCUGACUCGUGCCCCCGCCCCGCCCAUCUGCGUGUCUGAAAACGUCGUGUUUGAACCACCCACGGCCAGGGCACCUGAGGCGGUUGUUCAAAAAUGUAGCUCCUCGGGCCCCGCCCCGGCGUGCCUCCAGAAGUCCCAGGCUCUUCUCGGGUUGCAGUCUGAAAUUAGCACACGGCGAGGCGCAAGGGGGACCCGAAAGGGGCUCUGUCCUGCCGGAAGUCUAAUUCCCGAGCCUUUGGUGGUAUCGGGACCUGGGCCAGAGGAGGUGACCUCAGCCAGGCAGCACCCCGGGAUUGUGCUCGUUGAUACCAGAGGCUUACAGAGCGGAGACACAGCGACCGUCAUCUCCUGGGCGCACUGAGUCACAGCCCAGCAGGUUGACUGCGUUACUAAGUGUGAGCUAACCUGCUAUAUGGAGCAAACUCUGCGCCCAUGUAAUUACAUACUCCAGUCAGCGGCUGGGUUUGUUCAUACGUUCUUGCUCAGAAUCUUUGCUCCAAGAAAAAGGCGGAAAUGAUAAAUCGGAACCACACUUUGGUUUCUCCACUUGAACACCAUUUCGUGCGCCAGUUGGGAAAAGAGUAAAGAUUGAAGAAGUCCUACGGUGAUGAAAAUUGAAGGAAAUUUGGAUCCUGUUUUUGUAAGGUCGCGUUUCUUUCAAAGACGCUAGCUACCACGCUGCCCCUGUAGAAACAGCCAAAAGAAGAAGGGACCAUAUGUAUGGAUGGGGCUGGUACGAUCCAUGCUUCAACAGCAGUCCCUUCAACCUUGCUUGAAUGUGGAGGUUCGAUAGACCACCAGACUCCAGAGAUAAACUACCUUGGCUUGAAAGGAACGCUAUCAUCACUGAUAGCUGACCACUAUGUUUCUCGCCAGCAUAUGAAAGCUACGCUGAAUUGUUUAACAACGUUGUGUUUCAACUGAUGAGUAGAAAACUUCACUGAACCGUGCACAAUAAUGGAGAUUGGACUGAUGGUUCGCAAAGACGAAAGAGAUGGACAGCACAGAGAUGCCAAUAAUUUUAAAUAUAAUCUUAAAAAAAACUUCAUUCUUAAAGUGAGUGAGAACAGUAUACAUAAGGAAGAGGCAACUGCCCUGGUCAUUGUCACACCCAGAUGUGAUGACGGGACCUGCCGCGGGCAUCUUGCAAGCAGACAGGAGGCAGCUUGCAGACAAGACCAACACAGCAAGAUGACACGGCUGAAUGUGGACCUGAGUCCUUCGUGAUACUGUGGAGCUGAUCAAGUAACCCAGGAGUGUGCUUACCGUGGGCUUCCUGGCGUCUAAGGCAUCCUGGGAAGGACAGUCGCGGCCACCAUCCUCCACCUAAGCGAAAUGACGAGGGCGAUUGGAACUGGCUUUGUGGACAGCCCGUGUGCUGGGACUCACCUAUGAGAAAGGCAUUUCAGCCUGUUCUGUUAAAAUCGGCACACGAUAAAAUUGGCUUUUUGUGUACACAGUCCUGUGAAUUCUGGCAUCUAUACAGAUUGGUGUACCCACCAACAAGAUCAAGGUAAGAAACAGUUCCACCCUCCCCAAACACUGCCUUUGCCAUUCCUGUGUCGUGCGUCCUGCCCUCACCCCCAAAGUCCUGGCAGCCGGGACUCCACGCUCUGAAGCUGUUCUCCGUGCUUACAGUUUUGUCUUUUCAGGAACAUUUCAAAGAAAUGGAAUCAUCAGUCAUGCGUUGAUCUUUGGGGACUGGUUUCUUUUGC
Long non-coding RNA from Prionailurus viverrinus (fishing cat), 2091 nucleotides. RefSeq lists it as uncharacterized. NCBI's taxonomy places the organism in Eukaryota, Metazoa, Chordata, Mammalia, Carnivora, Felidae. The transcript is spliced from 5 exons. The record is from RefSeq and is a predicted model, not a curated record.